UGGAACUGCCACUUAAGCAUCAGAAGUCUGCUCAGGUGUGACCCUGGGAGCCCAAACUUUUCACGGAACAGCAAGGAACAUCCCUGUGCUCCUCCUUCCCAGUCUCUUUUUUUUUCAGAGGGAGUCUCGCUCUGUUGCCCAGGCUGGAGUGCAGUGGCGAGAUCUCAGCUCACUGCAAGCUCCGUCUCCCGGGUUCACGCCAUUCUCCUGCCUCAGCCUGCCGAGUAGCUGGGACAACAGGCGCCAGCCACCAUGCCCAGGCAUACAAAACCUGCCUUGCCUCUCCCCAGUUUGAACAGUGCUUUUGAACUUUGAUGGAAAAGCCACAUUUGGAAGGUCAUACCACCCUUGACAAACUGCAGUCCCUACUGGCCAUUACACUGCAGAGCCGUGACAAUGAUGGAUCUCCUGUUUGGAAGAGAAUGACCCAGGACAAAAGGGGUGACCAAACCAUGGUCUAAGUGUGAUAUCUGAAGCUGCUUAAUCUGCAAAAGGAAACCCAGUCUGCAGCAUCCUCGGGAGACAGCUGGAUCAGCCAGAGAGCUUCAGAAAGACACACAUCACUCUGCCAGACACACACACUGCUCCAGCUCCAGCAUCCAACAUCUGACCACAUGUCGGCAGCCACUGCUGACCUGGCUCCACCAUUUCUCCCCAGGUCUAAGCUUAAGCCGCACUGCAUUGCUUCCAUUUCUUCAUGCUUGCUCUGUUCCCUUCUACCACAGGGGCUUUGUGCAAGCUCAGCCUCAACAUGGAUCUUCCCCCUUCUUCACCUGGUCAACAGCCACUCAUUCUUCAACCUUAGUUCGAGCAUCAUCAACCUCCCCCGCUAUGUCAGUUCUCCCUGUUAGACACCCUGGCUGUUCCACAUAUCUUUUAUUCAAAGUAGUUACAUAUUAAAG
RNAcentral lists this long non-coding RNA (902 nucleotides) under Homo sapiens (human). Its description in RNAcentral is "non-protein coding lnc-NTSR2-1:3". Lineage: Eukaryota; Metazoa; Chordata; Mammalia; Primates; Hominidae. The record is from RNAcentral.